This 372-nucleotide long non-coding RNA is filed under the name Pan troglodytes (chimpanzee). RNAcentral's name for it is "long non-coding RNA NONPTRT015441". The record is from RNAcentral. Lineage: Eukaryota; Metazoa; Chordata; Mammalia; Primates; Hominidae.
CAAAAAUCACAUCAUACCUAUGAGCGUACAUCUGUGUUUGUUUCAUGUUUUCAUCUUCUUUUUUUCUCCACAGAUUUUCUUCAUCUCAACUCACCUCACCACUACAGGUCCAAGCCUGACACAGAGCCUAACAGAAAUACUUUCCUCCAAAUACAAUCCUGUUCACCAUGGAAGACAUUAAAACCUUCAGUGGUUGCUGCUGGGGGCCUUCACCAAAAUGCAGCCAUUCACCUUGCUGCUGGGGGCCUUCACCAAAAUGCAGCCAUUCACCUUUGCUUUUGCUCUACCUACAAAAAAUGUUCAUUGGCUCACUCCCGAAGUCAACUUUGAUCCAAAGAUAGUCUUCAGUUACCAAACCUUAUCACACAUCUG